RNAcentral lists this ribosomal RNA (444 nucleotides) under grassland soil clone saf1_204. RNAcentral describes it as "bacterial SSU rRNA". It matches the Rfam family "Bacterial small subunit ribosomal RNA", at positions 51 to 490 of the family's 1533-position model. The record is from RNAcentral.
ACACAUGCAAGUCGGGCGGCAGCGCGGGGGCAACCCUGGCGGCGAGCGGCGAACGGGUGAGGAAUACAUCGGAACGUACCCGGAAGUGGGGGAUAACGCCGCGAAAGCGGCGCUAAUACCGCAUAUUCUGUACGCAGGAAAGCAGGGGAUCGCAAGACCUUGCGCUUUCGGAGCGGCCGAUGUCGGAUUAGCUAGUUGGUGGGGUAAAGGCUUACCAAGGCGACGAUCCGUAGCUGGUCUGAGAGGAUGAUCAGCCACACUGGGACUGAGACACGGCCCAGACUCCUACGGGAGGCAGCAGUGGGGAAUUUUGGACAAUGGGGGCAACCCUGAUCCAGCCAUGCCGCGUGCGGGAAGAAGGCCUUCGGGUUGUAAACCGCUUUUAGUCGGGAAGAAAAGGGCGAGGCUAAUACCUUCGUCACUUGACGGUACCGGCGGAAUAAG